Molecule: ribosomal RNA, 254 nt
Filed under: uncultured bacterium
Lineage: Bacteria
Description: partial 16S ribosomal RNA
Rfam family: Bacterial small subunit ribosomal RNA
Source: RNAcentral
UACGUAGGGUGCAAGCGUUAUCCGGAAUUAUUGGGCGUAAAGAGCUCGUAGGCGGUUUGUCGCGUCUGCUGUGAAAAUCCGAGGCUCAACCUCGGACUUGCAGUGGGUACGGGCAGACUAGAGUGUGGUAGGGGGAGACUGGAAUUCCUGGUGUAGCGGUGGAAUGCGCAGAUAUCAGGAGGAACACCGAUGGCGAAGGCAGGUCUCUGGGCCAUUACUGACACUGAGAAGCGAAAGCAUGGGGAGCGAACAGG